This 94-nucleotide signal recognition particle RNA is filed under the name marine eukaryotic metagenome. Its description in RNAcentral is "Bacterial small signal recognition particle RNA". It matches the Rfam family "Bacterial small signal recognition particle RNA". From Rfam's summary of the family: The signal recognition particle (SRP) is a universally conserved ribonucleoprotein involved in the co-translational targeting of proteins to membranes. Archaeal SRP consists of a 7S RNA and homologues of the eukaryotic SRP19 and SRP54 proteins. In most bacteria, the SRP consists of a 4.5S RNA and the Ffh protein (a homologue of the eukaryotic SRP54 protein). The record is from RNAcentral.
CGGGUCCUAUGCAACGGAGUGUCGGUGAAGUCCGCCAGGCCCGGAAGGGAGCAACGGUAACCAGAAACUCUGUGUGCCGUAGGGUGCCUGGCCU